UGGAAGCUGUACUCAGAUGCCCCAGGACUGUUACUGCAAAAACACGAGGCGUGAAACACCCUUUCCAUGCUCCGUGUCAGCCUGGGUUCCAGAAUGCACGUUUGUCAGACACCUGAGCUUCUGCGCUUUGCCUCCGGCUCCCUCCUCCCUCCCUGCUUCCUUCCACUGUGCCAGGUCCCUCCCACUACAUUUGGCUCCCUGAAAUAUAGUCUCAUUUCACUGCCAGGCCUCUGUGAUUUACUGCGCGUGAGCAUCACCGCGGAGCAAGGAAGACAUUCUUCAUUUUUCUAUGUGACGCACGAGGAGCCAUAAAAGUUGAAGAUGAGUGCUUGUGAGCCUAACGACACAUGUCCCAUCCCGUCAAGGAUUUUGAAGACUAGGUCCCCAAAGGUGAUGUGGGCCUUGGCUCUCUCUCUCAGGAUUCUUGCCAUUGGAACCCAGCCACCAUGUUAUGAAAAAGCCCAGGCAGCAAUGGGAGGCCCUGUGUGGAUGUUUCAGCCAAAAGCCUCAGCUGAAGUAUCAGCCAACGGUUAGCAUCGACCAUCAGUUAUGUGGGUGAAUGAACCUUCAGAUGAUUCCAGCCCCCAGUCUUCAAGCCACCCUACUGAUGCUGAGUGGAGCAGAGAUAAGCUGUUCCCACUUCGUCCUGCCCAAAUUACAGAGCUGUGAGCAGAAUAAGUGUUAUCAUUGCUUUAAGUCUCUAAGUUUUGGAGUAAUUUGGAACACAUGCAUGUUAGAACCUUUGCAGUAUUUACCUGGUUUGGAUGGUGACAGAUUUUCUAAUAAAGUACUACAUUCGAAUCUGCGGAAAAUGUAAAUAAUGCACUAGUUUUAGUUUAUGACUUGUAUCAAUUAUAAAAAUUAUCUUCAUAGAUUAGUAUCUAGAAAGUAGGCUUCAUAUAUACAUAAAAAUGAAUGCAUGUGAAAUUGAAAGCUGUUUUCCAGUAAAAACUACAGAAAGGACUUAUAAUUUUUGGAUCUGCUCAUAGUUGCUUGGGAGAAGCCUAGGGGUCACCAGUAGGCUAUGGACGAUUCAUUGUGAAACAACAAUCAAAAUUGAUAGCUCUCAAAACAAGACCCCUAUCUUUGGCCUCUAGUAAGAUCUCCAUUCACGAAUCUCUACAAUCUCUCCCUUCCUGCACUUUCUAUCGUACUUUGUCUUUAUCGUAUCGUAAUCUCAAACAAAAAAGGAAAGUGCCCAGAAUAAGAUGAAAAACUUACAUGUAGCCAUUGCCGCAAAUACACAGAUUAGCAUUUAACCAACUUUAUCGCGUAGCUGAAAUGUCUUUCAAGAGCUAACAUUACAGACAUAGUUCUAGCCUUCUUUGGACUCUUUUGACCUCAUUUUCCUCUUUUUCUUUUCACCAGAGAGAGCUACGCACCGUCCUGAAACUGGUGUUUCCUUCCCAUCCGUGUUCUAUCUCAGUGUUUACCAGCGUGUUCUAGAACAUUCCAACUGUACUGAGCUCGAGGCCCAGCACCCAACUCAAAGAGCAACCAGGGAAAUCAGUGCACAGUGUCUGCAAAGCGCACAGCUAGCUGAAAUGCUGACUCACAUGGUGGCUAGGGCACAGGCAGAGGGUAGCGCUUCCGAUUGUUCCUUUAGAGAAUUGCUGCAUUUGUAAGUGAGGUUUGAGCAGCACUUACACGCAGAUAGUUUUGCUGACUGACAAGAAGAUGUGGCAGCUUUUAGGGUGAUAGAGGCUCUAUCCAGAAGCUGAGGCCAGCUUUCGUGAGGACAUGUGUGAGAUGCUGGGUGAGCCGUGCUGCUUCAGAACCCAGACGACAAAAUUUCGGAGAUCUAAACGUAUCCAGGGAAGUAGAAGAAAUCACUCCAGGAGAGGGCACAUUCCCUAUUACAAAUGGGAAUGCAUGAUGAUAGGAAACAAUGUAAAGCUCAGGGUUCCUCAUCUCUACAAGGCUGCUGCAAAACGACUGGCAAUGCCAAUCCAGAAAAUGCUGCCCUCUGCAUGUCAAAGAGGAUCUUCUGCCUCUGACAACUCAAAGGGAAAGGAGAGAGGGGUGAAGAGCAUCCCUUGCAGAUGGUAGCCAGAGAUGCCUCCCAGGGUCCUUUGCUUCCUCCCCCAGCAGGGAUCAACAGGUCUUCCACCGCAUCAUAAAAGCUAAGAUGUGCUGGCUCAGAGGCCUUCAUAAUUUGAUCACACAAUUACUAGGAGGGAAGGGUCGGUGCUUUAUGGCCAUCAGCUGCGUGGGCACCCUUUCCAUUACCAUCAGUGCUGGGUCAUAAUGAAAAAUGGGCAUGAUGCUAUUCAUUUGAGAGAUCUUUAAGGAUGAGGCUUUCUGGGCUGGUUUCCUGAUGGAUUUUUUUUGGUAAUGUCACAGUAUUCUGCGAGGCCCUCACAUGCCUCUUGCUUUACCUCCCUUGGAGAAUAAACGAACUUCAAAGGACACCUGCUUCUGAUUUAUGGUUCAGCCCAGGCCCUUGGCUUUGGCUCUUUCUCCUUCCAAACCAAGGGCUUUCAGGAUGAGAGGGCUGUGGGACUCAGCGACUCUGGGUGAGGGUGCUGGGGCAGUGCCAUCCUCCACCCUGCCGCCUGGUGGGGUUCCCGCCCUUGGCUGGACCUCCAGGCUUGCUUCCUUCCUCCCAGCUUCCUGCAUGGGGCUCCAGCGGCUGCCUGCUCAGUGGAAGAAAGUGCUCUGGGAGGAGGGAGGUCUGGUCUUCAGUCAGGGCUUCAGGUCCCGUGAGAACUUCCAAACCUGCUUGGAGGCCCUUUGUAGGGGCGUGUGGGAUUCCCAGUGUCUGCAGAGAAGAGGAGAC
This 2779-nucleotide long non-coding RNA is filed under the name Equus caballus (horse). Its description in RNAcentral is "lncRNA (ENSECAG00000055078.1)". The record is from RNAcentral. Lineage: Eukaryota; Metazoa; Chordata; Mammalia; Perissodactyla; Equidae.